GCUUAACACAUGCAAGUCGAGGGGCAUCAGGAAGAAAGCUUGCUUUCUUUGCUGGCGACCGGCGCACGGGUGAGUAACACGUAUCCAACCUGCCCUUUACUCGGGGAUAGCCUUUCGAAAGAAAGAUUAAUACCCGAUAGCAUAAUGAUUCCGCAUGGUUUCAUUAUUAAAGGAUUCCGGUAAAGGAUGGGGAUGCGUUCCAUUAGGUUGUUGGUGAGGUAACGGCCCACCAAGCCUUCGAUGGAUAGGGGUUCUGAGAGGAAGGUCCCCCACAUUGGAACUGAGACACGGUCCAAACUCCUACGGGAGGCAGCAGUGAGGAAUAUUGGUCAAUGGGCGCUAGCCUGAACCAGCCAAGUAGCGUGAAGGAUGAAGGCUCUAUGGGUCGUAAACUUCUUUUAUAUAAGAAUAAAGUGCAGUAUGUAUACUGUUUUGUAUGUAUUAUAUGAAUAAGGAUCGGCUAACUCCGUGCCAGCAGCCGCGGUAAUACGGAGGAUCCGAGCGUUAUCCGGAUUUAUUGGGUUUAAAGGGAGCGUAGGUGGACUGGUAAGUCAGUUGUGAAAGUUUGCGGCUCAACCGUAAAAUUGCAGUUGAUACUGUCAGUCUUGAGUACAGUAGAGGUGGGCGGAAUUCGUGGUGUAGCGGUGAAAUGCUUAGAUAUCACGAAGAACUCCGAUUGCGAAGGCAGCUCACUGGACUGCAACUGACACUGAUGCUCGAAAGUGUGGGUAUCAAACAGGAUUAGAUACCCUGGUAGUCCACACAGUAAACGAUGAAUACUCGCUGUUUGCGAUAUACAGUAAGCGGCCAAGCGAAAGCAUUAAGUAUUCCACCUGGGGAGUACGCCGGCAACGGUGAAACUCAAAGGAAUUGACGGGGGCCCGCACAAGCGGAGGAACAUGUGGUUUAAUUCGAUGAUACGCGAGGAACCUUACCCGGGCUUAAAUUGCAGUGGAAUGAUGUGGAAACAUGUCAGUGAGCAAUCACCGCUGUGAAGGUGCUGCAUGGUUGUCGUCAGCUCGUGCCGUGAGGUGUCGGCUUAAGUGCCAUAACGAGCGCAACCCCUAUCUUUAGUUACUAACAGGUUAUGCUGAGGACUCUAGAGAGACUGCCGUCGUAAGAUGUGAGGAAGGUGGGGAUGACGUCAAAUCAGCACGGCCCUUACGUCCGGGGCUACACACGUGUUACAAUGGGGGGUACAGAAGGCAGCUAGCGGGUGACCGUAUGCUAAUCCCAAAAUCCUCUCUCAGUUCGGAUCGAAGUCUGCAACCCGACUUCGUGAAGCUGGAUUCGCUAGUAAUCGCGCAUCAGCCACGGCGCGGUGAAUACGUUCCCGGGCCUUGUACACACCGCCCGUCAAGCCAUGGGAGCCGGGGGUACCUGAAGUACGUAACCGCAAGGAUCGUCCUAGGGUAAAACUGGUGACUGGGGCUAAGUCAUAACA
Molecule: ribosomal RNA, 1444 nt
Filed under: uncultured organism
Description: 16S ribosomal RNA
Rfam family: Bacterial small subunit ribosomal RNA
Source: RNAcentral